CCCAGCGGUGUGUAAGCGGAGAUGUCUGUACGGCGGAAGGUGCGUGGGUCCCAACCGGUGCUACUGCCGCCCGGGCAGGGGAGGGCCGUACUGCAACAAACGGAUACGCAGAUAACGGAAUCGUCAUCAAGUGGUGACGUCAUCAUUUUGUACAUAAAACAUGCAGCAGAAGUAGGACUUUUUCAUUCAUCAUCAGGUUCUGUGGUCACCAUGGAAACGGCUCAAAGAGCAGUGACGCGACACACUCCACGAUUUUACCUCGAAAUGUGCCCGUUUUUAGCUUUAUUUAGAUAAGUCACAAUCUACAAUGUUUAAGUGCGGACAAAAUGUUACUGUUUUGUUGUUGUUCUUGUUGAUGUUGACAUGUUCUAGAUGUAAACAUCCUUGUCUAAGGCUGAGGUACUUAUUUACAAUUUCGUAAUUUAGCAUUGAACAUUCCAAAACGAAGGUCAACUCAAAGUGACCUUGACCUUACCUUACCUUUUAAUGGUCACUUUGCUCGCCAAGAUUUCCACCUUUUCCUUUUAAAUGUAGGAUAAGAUUUUAGCAUUUAAUUGCGUUUGUAAUUUUUCUAUAUCUAUGUAUUGUAAAGGUUUUUAAAACUAUCUGUGCUUCUCUACGUAAUUUUGUGUGACGUCAGCGUUUAGUGUGUACCACUCUCCAGGCGAGAGGCAGCUGUGGUGCUCUGGGAACGAGAGCCUCUCGUACCUCACGUAGUCAUUAUUAGUUCACCAUAUUGGUUACUGUUUUAGUUUGUUUCAUGUGUGAAAUCACGAUUUUUAUGAAAAUGCUUCACAAUAGAUAUUUGUCCUGUUUAUUACUAUGACCAUGAAAAAUGUCGAAUGGAAGGUUUUGAUACUUUUUCUGAAUGUUGUAUGUAAAGGGCGAAUGAAAACAGCACUGACACAUCCAGGAAUUUUUACAGCUUAAACAAAAUACAAUAUGUUGAUUUUAUCUAGUACCUUCCAGUUGAAUCGCUCCUUAAAAUUAAGUUAAUUUUAAUUUGUCCAUCUCUUUCGUAAGUGCAUACGCGUGCCCGCCCACCCACAUAUCAUACAUUUAUACAUCCAUCGUGACACACUCAAACACACAUUCAUACGCAAUGUAACAGACAAUACCUCGACAAUUGUAUUUCGUCUGCUGUCUGGCAACACUAUAAACAUCGCUUCCGUUUCCAUCUGUAAUUUACGUUAAGACUAUUAUCGGCGUGUGUUUUAUGCAGUAACAAUAACACCUGAGCUAUGGAUAUCUUGCCUUCAUCCGCUAAAAUUACUUACCUUCAAGAAGUCUUUGCAAAAGCCACU
This is a long non-coding RNA of Branchiostoma floridae (Florida lancelet), 1304 nucleotides long. RefSeq lists it as uncharacterized. Lineage: Eukaryota; Metazoa; Chordata; Leptocardii; Amphioxiformes; Branchiostomatidae. The transcript has 2 exons. The record is from RefSeq and is a predicted model, not a curated record.